Molecule: non-coding RNA, 119 nt
Filed under: Thalassospira lucentensis
Lineage: Bacteria; Pseudomonadati; Pseudomonadota; Alphaproteobacteria; Rhodospirillales; Thalassospiraceae
Description: Ruegeria cis8 sRNA
Rfam family: Ruegeria cis8 sRNA
About the family: Cis-encoded.
Source: RNAcentral
AGGCGCGAGAUGUAAGGGAUCAGCGGCAGGUUCAACACCAGAAGAACAAUGUUGCCGAUAUACAUCGAAAUAAUAACCGACCAGAAGACUUCUGGCUGCUCAACAAACAGACGCGGGCC